UCUUCGGAUCCAGCGCAUGAAUUUGUUUACAAAGUAACUGUAUGGAAAUAUGAGUUGAGUGGGAUUAAGUGUUUAAACUAUUUCAUGCGCAAGCGGAAAAAAAAGAGCAAACAUAGUUCAGCAACGAUGGUGCAUGAUGCACAAUCUAUGGUCACUUAGAGCAUCUUCAAGAGUUUGCCAAAAUUAACUUAGCAAAUCUUGUGAUUUGGCAACUUGCUAAAAUAUAUGCCAAGUUAAAAAAAAGGCUAUCUCCAAGAGUUUGUCAUUUGGACUUGGUAAAACUAAAAAUCAGGCCCACCAAAAUUACCGGAUCAACUACUGUCGCUUCACAUCCCGUCGCCGUUCCAUCUUGCGCCGCGCGCCGGUGGCCAUCAUCUACUCCGGCCGGCCAUCUCCUCCUCCCAUCAGAAAAUCGUCUUGAUCUCCUGCCUCCAGCCGCCAAUCAUAUUCUUUACAGCACGCCAUUGAUGAGAGGAACAAAGCGGCACGAUCGGUUUUGCUUCUGCACCUUCCUCGAUCGAUUUCUUUGACGCUUGCUCAUAAUCAAUUAGAAGACAAGAAAUGGAAGGAAACGAUUCAGGCUAGUUGGCACCUGAGCGUCAGCCGGCCGGCCGUUGGUUGAGUGGAUGGCGGCGGCGGCAUCCCCAUGUCCCGCGCCGUCGCGAACCCCCUCCUGGUGGAGGCGGAGGCGGACCCGUACGUACACCGCCCUCCGCGCCGUGCCGUUGAGCGUCGUUCUGGCCGACGUUGGCGGUGGCGGCGAGGAAGUGCUAGCCGGAGAAUGAGUCGCGCGGGAGAAGGACGUCCGGGAGACGCGCCGGAGAAGGACGACGGGGAGACGCGCGGGAGGAGUCCGCGGCACAAGAAACACUGAUGGAGAGCCGGAUACGCGUGCGCAUAUUUGCGCGUCGAGGACCACUUUUUGCCAACUUUCUAAAAUUUGCCAAGUAGUAUGCAAAACUGUUGGAGACAUGUUUUUUGUGUUUUUCCAAAAAAAACAAGGAUGGCAACCUAAUUUGACAAACUGUUGGAGAUGCUCUAACUACUACUUGUGGUUUAAAUUCUAAAUCAUCAUCUCAUUGUUUCCCUUGUGUACAAA
Molecule: long non-coding RNA, 1099 nt
Organism: Panicum virgatum (switchgrass)
Lineage: Eukaryota; Viridiplantae; Streptophyta; Magnoliopsida; Poales; Poaceae
Exons: 2
Source: RefSeq, a predicted model, not a curated record